GUGGGUGUAGCUCAGCCGGCAGAGCACCUGACUGUGGCUCAGGGGGCCGUGGGUUCAAAUCCCAUCACCCACC
This 73-nucleotide transfer RNA is filed under the name Candidatus Omnitrophota bacterium. RNAcentral describes it as "Candidatus Omnitrophica bacterium (groundwater metagenome) tRNA-His". It matches the Rfam family "tRNA". From Rfam's summary of the family: Transfer RNA (tRNA) molecules are approximately 80 nucleotides in length. Their secondary structure includes four short double-helical elements and three loops (D, anti-codon, and T loops). The record is from RNAcentral. Lineage: Bacteria; Pseudomonadati; Candidatus Omnitrophota.